GCCGGGGCGGGGUGCCUAUACAUGCAGUCCGAGCGGACAGAUGGGAGCUUGCUCCCUGAUGUUAGCGGCGGACGGGUGAGUAACACGUGGGUAACCUGCCUGUAAGACUGGGAUAACUCCGGGAAACCGGGGCUAAUACCGGAUGCUUGUUUGAACCGCAUGGUUCAGACAUAAAAGGUGGCUUCGGCUACCACUUACAGAUGGACCCGCGGCGCAUUAGCUAGUUGGUGAGGUAACGGCUCACCAAGGCAACGAUGCGUAGCCGACCUGAGAGGGUGAUCGGCCACACUGGGACUGAGACACGGCCCAGACUCCUACGGGAGGCAGCAGUAGGGAAUCUUCCGCAAUGGACGAAAGUCUGACGGAGCAACGCCGCGUGAGUGAUGAAGGUUUUCGGAUCGUAAAGCUCUGUUGUUAGGGAAGAACAAGUGCCGUUCAAAUAGGGCGGCACCUUGACGGUACCUAACCAGAAAGCCACGGCUAACUACGUGCCAGCAGCCGCGGUAAUACGUAGGUGGCAAGCGUUGUCCGGAAUUAUUGGGCGUAAAGGGCUCGCAGGCGGUUUCUUAAGUCUGAUGUGAAAGCCCCCGGCUCAACCGGGGAGGGUCAUUGGAAACUGGGGAACUUGAGUGCAGAAAAGGAGAGUGGAAUUCCACGUGUAGC
RNAcentral lists this ribosomal RNA (663 nucleotides) under Bacillus amyloliquefaciens. RNAcentral describes it as "bacterial SSU rRNA". It matches the Rfam family "Bacterial small subunit ribosomal RNA", at positions 35 to 679 of the family's 1533-position model. Lineage: Bacteria; Bacillati; Bacillota; Bacilli; Caryophanales; Bacillaceae. The record is from RNAcentral.